ACCAGACUCCUACGGGAGGCAGCAGUGGGGAAUAUUGCACAAUGGGGGGAACCCUGAUGCAGCGACGCCGCGUGGGUGAAGGAGUACUUCGGUACGUAAAGCCCUAUCAGCAGGAAAGAAAAUGACGGUACCUGACUAAGAAGCCCCGGCUAACUACGUGCCAGCAGCCGCGGUAAUACGUAGGGGGCAAGCGUUAUCCGGAUUUACUGGGUGUAAAGGGGGCGCAGACGGCAGCGCAAGCCAGGAGUGAAAGCCCGGGGCCCAACCCCGGGACUGCUCUUGGAACUGCGCGGCUGGAGUGCAGGAGGGGCAGGCGGAAUUCCUGGUGUAGCGGUGAAAUGCGUAGAUAUCAGGAGGAACACCGGUGGCGAAGGCGGCCUACUGGACUGCGACUGACGUUGAGGCCCGAAAGCGUGGGGAGCAAACAGGAUUAGAUACCCGAGUAGAC
RNAcentral lists this ribosomal RNA (448 nucleotides) under uncultured bacterium. RNAcentral describes it as "bacterial SSU rRNA". It matches the Rfam family "Bacterial small subunit ribosomal RNA", at positions 330 to 795 of the family's 1533-position model. The record is from RNAcentral.